RNAcentral lists this ribosomal RNA (100 nucleotides) under Chryseobacterium lacus. The record is from RNAcentral. Lineage: Bacteria; Pseudomonadati; Bacteroidota; Flavobacteriia; Flavobacteriales; Weeksellaceae.
UUUUAGCAGAGGGGCUCACCUGUUCCCAUUCCGAACACAGAAGUUAAGCCCUCUAGCGCCGAUGGUACUGCUAACGCGGGAGAGUAGGUCGCCGCCAGUU